This 618-nucleotide long non-coding RNA is filed under the name Vitis vinifera (wine grape). RNAcentral describes it as "long non-coding RNA (VVIN_LNC002406)". Lineage: Eukaryota; Viridiplantae; Streptophyta; Magnoliopsida; Vitales; Vitaceae. The record is from RNAcentral.
ACACUAAAGAGCCCAAUUUAGACUAAACAUUUCGCCAAGUACACUAAAGGGACCCUGCCCAAAUUGCAUAAGGGUGCGUGAGCAAAUGUCCUACUUCCCUUUGGUAGUCAUAAUUGCGUAAUGUUAAAGCAUAGUGAGGAAAUCAAGGCACUACUCUUGACUGCACCAAAAUGUGUGUGAAUACUUUAGUGGUUCCUCAAGCUUAGGGGUGUGGUUAUAGCUUUAAACCAGUGAGUUGAGUGUCAAACCUCAAAGAAGAAAUCUUGAAGUGCAAGUGAGAUGAAAAGAUUAAGAAAAUGCAUGAAAUUGGUGGUAAAAAAUAACACUUUCUUGAAUUCUUGGUUUAGGCAAAGUGGUGGUUGCAAUGUUGUUAAGUGAAAAGCAAUAAUUGGUUAAAAUGUAGUAACUUGUAACUAAUAGUUGAGGAAGGGGAGAUCCUUAGGGUCCCUUCCUUACCUUGGAAUGAUUCUUGUCAUUAAUAUACCAUCUAGAAGUGUUUACUUAUCAAUUGAAUCCCCUAUGCACAACCCUACUUUUCUUGAACAAAUGUUGUGAUUUGAAAAUUGUUGUUUUGAGCUUAUACAAGGUUGUUCCAAGUUAAAAUGGCUCUCAUUAAAU